CAGACUUCUAGCUGAUUUAAUGAAAAAAUCAUAAUCGCAACAGAGCUUUUCUUUUUCCUCCAAAUGUGCAGGUUUUUCGUCAAAAGGUCACUGACUUGGAGUGCAGGAUAAAUACCUUUUCUUCCUGCAGUGGAGACAGUUUGGAAGUCCUGUCAUGUUGUAAGGAAUUGAAAACAAGAUCCAAAGAAACAGAGGGAUGCAGGAGAAGAGUGUAUGCAAGGCUGUAAGGAGAAAGACGGUAAGAAGCUGAUGUCGUGGCGUAAAUGGAACGUGCACACUAUAUAAUAGAGGACUCGUGUUGUUUGACGCUUGCAACUUAAAUGAAAUUCCAACCGCCUCCCCCCGCCCCAACCGCAAGACUUAAAUCUUGUGGAACCUCAGUCCUUG
RNAcentral lists this long non-coding RNA (387 nucleotides) under Struthio camelus australis. RNAcentral describes it as "lncRNA (ENSSCUG00000011266.1)". Lineage: Eukaryota; Metazoa; Chordata; Aves; Struthioniformes; Struthionidae. The record is from RNAcentral.